Molecule: ribosomal RNA, 486 nt
Filed under: uncultured bacterium
Lineage: Bacteria
Description: partial 16S ribosomal RNA
Rfam family: Bacterial small subunit ribosomal RNA
Source: RNAcentral
AUUGACCGCUGGCGGCAUUCCUUACACAUGCAAGUCGAACGGCAGCACGGGUCCUUGCACCUGGUGGCGAGUGGCGAACGGGUGUGUAAUACAUCGGAACAUGUCCUGUAGUGGGGGAUAGCCCGGCGAAAGCCGGAUUAAUACCGCAUACGAUCUACGGAUGAAAGCGGGGGACCUUCGGGCCUCGCGCUUUCGGGUUGGCCGAUAGCGGAUUAGCUAGUUGGUGGGGUAAAGGCCUACCAAGGCGACGAUCAGUAGCUGGUCUGAGAGGACGACCAGCCACACUGGGACUGAGACACGGCCCAGACUCCUACGGGAGGCAGCAGUGGGGAAUUUUGGACAAUGGGCGAAAGCUUGAUCCAGCAAUGCCGCGUGUGUGAAGAAGGCCUUCGGGUUGUAAAGCACUUUUGUCCGGAAAGAAAUCCUUGGCUCUAAUACAGUCGGGGGAUGACGGUACCGGAAGAAUAAGCACCGGCUAACUACGUG